AGUAGGUGCACCACAGUGAUCACCACAUACAGAAAAUUCUGCCUGACAUUUCCAGAGUUUUUGUACACUAAAAUUGUAACCAAAGGCUUGUUCACAAAGGCUAUGCCUUCUGUCUACUGAGGAUAUACCAGGAAGAAUGUUCUAACAUUUUGCUCUGUACAGCUUUGUCCUGCCUAGACUCACUUAUGUGGCUAUUGGCAGCUCAACUGGACAGCUGGGUCUCUAUAUGGCCUUUCACACCAGUCUCUUCACAGUGUGGUGGUUUCAAGAUUUGAAGACCACAGCCCUAAUAUAAAAGAAGAGGGAAGAUGAUUUAAAAAAAAGAAGAGAUAUCCAGUUGUUCUAGUGCCAUGUGUCGAAAGGAUUAUUUUCUCUCCAUGGAAUUACCUUGCUGAAAAAUGAAUUGAUCAUGUAAGUGUAGCUUUAUACUAAGUAUUCAAAUCAGGUGACAACAUUCCUUCAACUUUUCAACUUUGUCU
This is a long non-coding RNA of Suricata suricatta (meerkat), 479 nucleotides long. RefSeq lists it as uncharacterized. The record is from RefSeq and is a predicted model, not a curated record. The transcript is spliced from 5 exons. NCBI's taxonomy places the organism in Eukaryota, Metazoa, Chordata, Mammalia, Carnivora, Herpestidae.